This is a long non-coding RNA of Hemicordylus capensis (graceful crag lizard), 4639 nucleotides long. RefSeq lists it as uncharacterized. NCBI's taxonomy places the organism in Eukaryota, Metazoa, Chordata, Lepidosauria, Squamata, Cordylidae. The record is from RefSeq and is a predicted model, not a curated record. The transcript has 2 exons.
UCAGUUUUUCCAUCGAUAGAGAUUUUUGUCAUUCUUGUUCUUGGUUAAUUAUUUUGAGAGGAUUGUGCAUGACCUCAUUGGUGCUACAGAAAGUACCCUGUGUGACACUGCAGUAUAUGUCAGGAGUAUUGCCAGGAGCUGUCAGUGUAACAGUGUAAUGUUGCACCACUGGAGACCCUGUGCACCUAACACAGGUGCUCAGAGGUGAAUUGUCAGUUUUUGGCACCUGGCUAAUAGAUUACAACUGUAGUCAUAAGUGCACUCAUUAGGAUUUCCUUCAGCAUAAUCAUCCUUAGGAUCACACUGAGCUAUUUUAAAAUUCCAUUCCUUGUGAGGGUUUUUCUUUUUCUUUUUUGCAUGAUUAUUAUUUUUUUGAAACAACGCCAUGACACUUCUUUAAAAUUCCUUCUAUACAUAUUCAUAUCUGAUUAAUGUCAGCACCAAUGCCUGAAAAAACUGAAUCCUUUGGGAUGCACAUUUUCAGAAGUUACUUUUAAAAGGACAUGUGCCAAGUACCUCAAAAGGAAAUAAAGGGGUAAAAUAUCCUAUCGAACAUUGCACUGUCACUGACAGUAUGCCAGCACACACUGAUAAACUUCUAUUGAAUCAUCUAUAUUAUUAAUCCCCGUAGACGUGCCUCUGUGGGGAUGCGUCCCGGCAACCCAGCGGAUUGGCUGGGAAGCCGAGGCGCCGGAUUGGUUGGGAAGCCGAGGCGCCGGAUUGGCUAGGCGGUGGAGCUCACGCGCGGCAGGAUUCAUGAAACUGUUGAGCUGCUGCCCAGGGAAAUGGCGGACGGGUGGCGGAUGGCGGCGGGACCAGCCAUGGCGGGCACUGCACGCCGCCAGUGUGAGGAAGCGGCAGCAGGAGCAAACGGGCCAGCAAGCCGCAAAACAAUAUUCUGUAUUCAGAAGUCCUUGUUUGAUAUCAAUAUUCAUCGAGCCAGCUGGGACUGAGGUUUGAAUUCUCUAUGCUUAGAAUAUGAAUCUACAUUUUGCAACUGAUUUCAUUUUCAUUAUGGAAGGUGCUUGAUUAUAUUUUGAAUAUAUUCCCAAAUGCAAAUGACUCCUAUUCAAAAUUAAUGGCCUGAUAUAUUUUGAAAUUGGAAUUGAGUACAUGCUGAGUGCAGAAGGAAGGAAGGAAGGAAGGAACCAACCAAUCAGAAGCUUUUGAGCUGACAAACCUCUUCUUCAGUGAAGGAUGUGUGUAAACCAUUUCAUUUUUGUCUGCUGUUCUCCCUUUACAAACUUGCAUUUUCUCUUAAUACAGUAUAUCUGUUGUAUUCUAGCUAGUAAUAUUUUAUGUUUUGUUGUUGAUGUUUUUCCCAGUGAGGAUCCUGUAGAGUGUGUGUUGGGAUGGAGUGUGUUAGUGUGGAGUCAGAAAGGAAAAGGGAGGGUAAAGAGAAAAUUGAUGAUGAUGAUGAUGAUGAUGAUGAUAUUUCUAUCCUGCUCUUCCUCCAAGGAGCCCAGAGUAGUGUACAUGGUUAUGUUUAUCCUCACAACCACCCUGUGAGGUAAGUUAAGCUGAGAGAUACGUGACUGGCCCAGAGUCACCUAGUGAGAUUCAAGUUGUUUCUGAAUACAUGCUUAGUUAAAUUACAUAAGAUUAGAGAAGUCCCUGAACUGCGGUUGAAGCACUUUCAGGAAAAAAGGACAGAGAACUUUAAGAAAAAAGAGAGCAGGUCCUUACCUGUUCUUUGCCACCCCAUUCUGCUUCCUGCUGGGGUGAUGCACAUCCCAAUAACCACCCGUGCAGAGCCAGCAUGCAAAUUGUGCCCGUGCAUGCACAGACCUGCUCUCCUUUUUCUUAGUUCCCUUUCUAAUUUCCCUAAAAGUCCUUGAACUGUGCUUCAAACCAUAGUUCAGGUACAUACCGAAUCUUACAUAAGAUUAUUUUGUGUUUAUGAGAGAAGCAGCUAUAAAUCAUCUGGUAAUGAGGCUUUGAACCAGCUAUGCGUAUGAGCCUGUAAAGCUUGUAAAUGUUCCUGCAACCCAGUUUCAUUGCAUUACCGGGCCUACAUUUCUGAACUGCUUUCUGCUAUUGCUGCUGUUGACUGUUUCUCCAGCUCCCUGACCUGUUCAACCCCUGAAGGUACUUCUUGUUCUCAAUCCUGGACUCUGUUGUUCACUGGAUGCCCAUUGCAGCAUGGCUCAGAUCCCACCAACAACCUUCUUCUUGUUCACCCCAGGAGAACCCGCUAUUCCCUGGAAUCAAUGGAGGUCCUGUUUCUGCAAUUACCUCCUCACCAUGCAGAGCCCUAAUUUUACUCCAACAAAGCAUAAGGCUAUAUUGCUUCACUGCCUGGGCCCUAAUAUAUAACCAUUUGCCCUUUCCUGUCAACUUGGAAGGGGGUGCCUAUUCUUAUUAAGCUGCUCUUCAAGCCUUAGAUAACCAUUUCAACUCUACUUAGAUUGUGAUUGCUGAGCGUUACAAGGUUUAUUCUACAUCCAAACUGCCUGGUGAAUCUAUCCAUCAGUAUGUCACAGCAUUGUGUACCUUAAUUGUAAUCUGUGAGUUUGCCAAUUUUACUAAUGAAAUUAUCAGGGAUCAGUUUGUUAUGAAAACAAACCAAUCCAAACUGCAUGAAAAACUGCUGUUGGAAUGCAAACUUACCUUGGAUACAGUUAUAGAGAUGGCUAGGAGGGUGGAAAAUACUCUUCAUGUGCCAAAUCACUCUCUUUGGUACUCCAAAUCAAACCUCCUGAAAUCCAGGAUGUUGUCUAAAUCCUUCCAAACCAGAUCUUCUCAUAUGGCUCUGCAGUCCACUCCAUUACUCAUUCAUCUUAUGAUAAGGAUGAGGCAGAUGAACCACUUCCUGACAGCGUUUUAAGUGUGACAGAAUCAGAGCCUGCUUCUCCACAUUGUCAAGUUAAACUGAAUGGACACCUAAAAGACUUCAAGACUUUGUCACCGAAUUAAAAUUAAUUCAAUUUUGUUUGUUAUAAAGGGGAGGGAUGUGUUGUAUUCUAUCUAGUAAUCUUUUUAUGUUUCGUUGUUGAGAAGUUUCUCCCAGUGGGGAUCCUGUAGAGAGUGGAGGGGGGGUACAGUCAGAAAGGAAAAGGGAGGGAAAGGAGGAUCCGCUAUAAAACAUCAUUCUUUGGAAUUAAAGGUUGGGGAAAGGCUAGAUGCUAUUCUAAAAUAAUGAGUUUAUGUGCACAAUAUGGUGAAAAAAGUGUGAUCACAUACUGGGAAGGGGAAGCUCAGCAAUGGAUUGUGAAGUCACUUUGGGAUUGUGAAGUUUGUGAGCUUAGUCUCUGCUAAAAGUCGUCUUGUAAGGUAGCUGGGCUGAAUGGGUGCAUGUCUGCAGUGGUGCAAAUUCAGCAUAAAACAAAUACAAUCAGGCUUAGGAAUAACUAUACACACACACACACACACACACACACACACAUUUUAUUUCCAAACGAGUUGUGAGAAGGUUUGUACCUUGAAGUUUUUCACACUGUGCUUUUAAAGCCCUAUAACUCGCAUCCCCUCCGAAAUAGAGGGGGUGCAUCCACAUAUCAGCCAGAUUUAUCCCAAAGUCCCUGCUAGUUAUCGGGGAGUAGUUCACACACAAUUCAGAUUUUUCACUGCACGUUAGUGUGUAGCCCGAUUUAUAUCAAGGUAAAAGAAUCCACUAUUUGUUUCAGUUUUUUGGGAGAACUUUGAGUUUGCAGUAGAGUCUCCCAGUAUACUCAUGGUAAAGCCUGGUGUGUGUAAAAGUCCCUUUUUAAUUAUACAAAAUAAGCUCUUUUCAUGAUCAGUGAGAAGAGCUUCAGGCAUGUCUGCGGGGAGAGUGGGUUAACUUACCCCUCUCCACAUACGAUCGCUGAGCUGUCCCAAAGAAACAUAUCGAGAAAUGUACAGCAAAACAUAGAAAUAGAAAAUUGCAUUGGAGCUCAGGUUUCUCCGCACUUAUCAGCUUCUUGAGUAGCAGUAUAGUAAAGAGCCAUAUGGUAUUUUACCUUAUGUUGCAAUGUGAAUGAGCUUAGGAGGAUAAAGUUAGACAAUUAUAUAGGCCACUAUCUCUGCAUGUUACACGUAAUGGUGAAAAGUGAAUGCAUGAAUGGCUUGUACUUCUGCUUUUCCACCUUCCAGUGUAAUAAGCCCAGAGGAAAAUUGCACAUCUUCUCCACACUGUGAAUUUUAGCAUAGAGAGGGGCAGUGAACAAGAUGAUGAUAAUUGUUAUUCUAUCAGGCCUCUCCAUUUUAAAAACAAAAUACCCAAAGCGGUUCACAUGGAAAUUAAAACAAAAAAUUAAAAAACAAAAUGUUAAACUUCACCAAGGAGCAGCAGAUAAUAAAAUCAUUUUACCCUGCACAAGUUAUUCCAGUGAACUUUAGUUGGCAUCCAGGUGAAGUGAAGUCCUCACUUCUGUAGCUGGAUACACCUCGAAUUGAGGGCAUGCCUGGACCAGCAACACUCCCAAAGACAACACCCCUCACUAGCAGGAAAUCAUGACUGACCUUUUCCACGCACACUCAUGUUAUACCCCAGACUGCCGUUUUCAGGACAAUUUGUAGGUACAGCUUUUUUCUGACUCUUAUGUGAUGCAUUGGAGGACUAAUCGGGCGAAAGCCGGGAACUAUUGUUUCCCGUAUGAAUGUUAUGCAGUGGAGAUUGUUGUGAAGCAGCAAUAAAUUGCAGUAUGGAAAACCUCAA